GAAUAUUGGACAAUGGGGGGAACCCUGAUCCAGCCAUGCCGCGUGAGUGAUGAAGGCCUUAGGGUUGUAAAGCUCUUUCACCGAUGAAGAUAAUGACGGUAGUCGGAGAAGAAGCCCCGGCUAACUUCGUGCCAGCAGCCGCGGUAAUACGAAGGGGGCUAGCGUUGUUCGGAUUUACUGGGCGUAAAGCGCACGUAGGCGGAUUGGUCAGUUAGAGGUGAAAUCCCGAAGCUCAACUUCGGAACUGCCUUUAAUACUGCCAGUCUCGAGUCCGGAAGAGGUAAGUGGAACUCCUAGUGUAGAGGUGGAAUUCGUAGAUAUUAGGAAGAACACCAGUGGCGAAGGCGGCUUACUGGUCCGGAACUGACGCUGAGGUGCGAAAGCGUGGGGAGCAAACAG
This 399-nucleotide ribosomal RNA is filed under the name uncultured bacterium. Its description in RNAcentral is "bacterial SSU rRNA". It matches the Rfam family "Bacterial small subunit ribosomal RNA", at positions 359 to 775 of the family's 1533-position model. The record is from RNAcentral.